GAAUCUGCCCUUUGGAGUGGGACAACGACUGGAAACGGUCGCUAACACCGCAUGAGCCGAGAGGUAAAAGUAUUUAUAGCCAAAGGAUGAGCUCGCGUCGGAUUAGCUAGUUGGUAGUGUAAUGGACUACCAAGGCGACGAUCCGUAGCUGGUCUGAGAGGAUGAUCAGCCACACUGGGACUGAGACACGGCCCAGACUCCUACGGGAGGCAGCAGUGGGGAAUUUUCCGCAAUGGGCGCAAGCCUGACGGAGCAAGACCGCGUGGGGGAGGAAGGUCUGUGGAUUGUAAACCCCUUUUGACCGGGAAGAACACAAUGACGGUACCAGUCGAAUCAGCCUCGGCUAACUCCGUGCCAGCAGCCGCGGUAAUACGGAGGAGGCAAGCGUUAUCCGGAUUUAUUGGGCGUAAAGCGUCCGCAGGUGGUUUAUCAAGUCUGCUGUCAAAGCACGGAGCUUAACUUCGUAUCGGCAGUGGAAACUGAUGAACUUGAGUGUGAUAGGGGCAGAGGGAAUUCCCAGUGUAGCGGUGAAAUGCGUAGAGAUUGGGAAGAACACCGGUGGCGAAAGCGCUCUGCUGAGUCAUAACUGACACUGAGGGACGAAAGCUAGGGGAGCGAA
Molecule: ribosomal RNA, 619 nt
Filed under: uncultured cyanobacterium
Lineage: Bacteria; Bacillati; Cyanobacteriota
Description: bacterial SSU rRNA
Rfam family: Bacterial small subunit ribosomal RNA
Source: RNAcentral